GGGCCCGCACAAGCAGCGGAGCGUGUGGUUUAAUUCGAUGCAACGCGCAGAACCUUACCUCGGCUUGACAUGCACGUGGUACUGAUCCGAAAGGAAAGGGACCCGCGAGGGAGCGUGCACAGAUGCUGCAUGGCUGUCGUCAGCUCGUGCCGUGAGGUGUUGGGUUAAGUCCCGCAACGAGCGCAACCCUUGUCCUUAGUUGCCUUCUCUAAGGAGACCGCCGGUCUAAACCGGAGGAAGGUGGGGAUGACGUCAAGUCAGCACGGCUCUUACGUCGAGGGCUACACACACGCUACAAUGGCCGGUACAACGGGCUGCCAAGGGGUGACCCGGAGCUAAUCCCACCAAAGCCGGUCUCAGUUCGGAUUGCAGGCUGCAACUCGCCUGCAUGAAGUCGGAGUUGCUAGUAACUGCCAGUCAGCACAUGGCAGUGAAUACGUUCCCGGGCCUU
This 451-nucleotide ribosomal RNA is filed under the name uncultured bacterium. Its description in RNAcentral is "bacterial SSU rRNA". It matches the Rfam family "Bacterial small subunit ribosomal RNA", at positions 917 to 1382 of the family's 1533-position model. The record is from RNAcentral.